This 74-nucleotide transfer RNA is filed under the name Oscillospiraceae bacterium. RNAcentral's name for it is "tRNA-Gly". It matches the Rfam family "tRNA". From Rfam's summary of the family: Transfer RNA (tRNA) molecules are approximately 80 nucleotides in length. Their secondary structure includes four short double-helical elements and three loops (D, anti-codon, and T loops). Lineage: Bacteria; Bacillati; Bacillota; Clostridia; Eubacteriales; Oscillospiraceae. The record is from RNAcentral.
GCAGGUGUAGUUUAGUGGUAGAACUCCACCCUUCCAAGGUGGUCGUACGAGUUCGAUUCUCGUCACCUGCUCCA